Long non-coding RNA from Pogoniulus pusillus (Red-fronted tinkerbird), 1510 nucleotides. RefSeq lists it as uncharacterized. Lineage: Eukaryota; Metazoa; Chordata; Aves; Piciformes; Lybiidae. The record is from RefSeq and is a predicted model, not a curated record. The transcript is spliced from 2 exons.
CCCAGGUGGAAUUCGCCACAGGACUUCUGUUGAAUAUUUUGCUGCAUAUGUUUUGGGCCACAGACAUUAGGACUGGACAGACUCACAGGCCAGCCACGGGCUACUGGCCACUAGCCGUUCUGAGUCAGCCAGCACAGCUGACUUGAUUUGGCUCAGAGGUGUAUCCCAUACCAAGGAGGAAGCAUGGUAAGGAGAGGGAGUUUUCUUCUUGGACUUCUGCUCUGCUCCUCUUCCUGCUCUUCAGGAUUGCUUUCCUGUUUAGUGAGACUGCUGCAUCCUUGCUGUGCUGAAAACAGCUUUAUAUUGUUUGUGUUGAUGUUGGUACCAGCUUGGCUAUUUUGUUAAAUAUGUUUUCACUUGAACCUGUGGCUCUUCAUUACUUUUCCUGAUCGUUCUUUCCUGGGGAGGUGUCAUAAAGUGAUAGAGUAAACACUCUAUUUUGGCCAUGGAUACAGGCUACACAUACACAAGUGUCUUCUAUUGCAGGAUUAAGAAGAGAAGGGGUUGCUAGAAAUAAAAUAUGAUACAUUUUAAUGUCUUCAUUUCAUAUUAUCUGAAGCCGGUGACAAAGCUGCUGUGUCAUGUGCAGGAUUAGUUGUUUAGAAAGCAUAACUAAGAAUAAGGAUCUUCUUCGGGUGAAUGGUAAAUGCAUAACAGUGAAGACAUAACUUUAUCAUUUUAAAGGAACAUAGGACUCCUGUAAGGAUUAUCACUGCAAAAUUAUGCCUUACUAUUUAAACAUUGCAGACACUAAAAGUCUUCUUAAAAUUGCAGUUUUAACUAUUCAAACCAGUCACAUGAAUUAAUAUGGUGCUUCUACCUCAUUUGACUCAUGUAUUUUUAUGUUUGUUUGUUUGUUUCCUAAGAGCAUAUUGUGCUUUGAAUAUGCAAAUACUUUAAUAUAUGCAGAACAGGGAAGACUUUCAUGUUUAAACUCAAGGCCCUUUUAACAGUGUUCAGUUGAAAAGUGGACCUCAGGUACUGCUGGAAAGCUCCAAGCUCUUCAAUGAAACAUAAUCAUAUUGGAUUUACAUCUUUCUUGGUGCACGCAGAUUGACGUGGCAAAUAUUACGACUGUGAAAUAAAUCAAUUGAUGCAUACACACUUUAUUGCUAAUGAGAAAAUAUUGAUGUGAAAAAUUAUUUAUACUUGGGAUACUAAAACAGAUUUCAUAAGGAAGCCAAAGUAAUUUGUGACUUGGGAUUUGUGUUAAUACUUAAUUCUGGGAUUUAAUCAGCUAUCACUUUUGUCUGGAAGUGUCUUUGGGGAAAACGAUACUUUCAUUCUUGUUCACUUUACCAAUGCUUAGACAAUUCUUAUUUAUAGAAGCUUAAAAAAAAAAAAAAAAAGAAAGCAAUAAUCAUCAUUUACGUUUACCCCCCAAAAAAUUAACUGUUGUUUUUAAUGAAGGGAAAAAAUCCAAGGAGAAAUACGGAUAAUCACUCUUCAUUAUCACUGCAUCUGUACUGCAAGCUUUGUAAAAACAUUUCAAAUACAAUAUGUUCAGCAA